RNAcentral lists this ribosomal RNA (585 nucleotides) under uncultured bacterium. RNAcentral describes it as "partial 16S ribosomal RNA". It matches the Rfam family "Bacterial small subunit ribosomal RNA", at positions 355 to 938 of the family's 1533-position model. The record is from RNAcentral.
UGGGGAAUUUUGGACAAUGGGCGCAAGCCUGAUCCAGCCAUGCCGCGUGCGGGAAGAAGGCCUUCGGGUUGUAAACCGCUUUUGUCAGGGAAGAAAUCUUCUGAGUUAAUACCUCGGGAGGAUGACGGUACCUGAAGAAUAAGCACCGGCUAACUACGUGCCAGCAGCCGCGGUAAUACGUAGGGUGCAAGCGUUAAUCGGAAUUACUGGGCGUAAAGCGUGCGCAGGCGGUUUUGUAAGACAGAGGUGAAAUCCCCGGGCUCAACCUGGGAACUGCCUUUGUGACUGCAAGGCUUGAGUGCGGCAGAGGGGGAUGGAAUUCCGCGUGUAGCAGUGAAAUGCGUAGAUAUGCGGAGGAACACCGAUGGCGAAGGCAAUCCCCUGGGCCUGCACUGACGCUCAUGCACGAAAGCGUGGGGAGCAAACAGGAUUAGAUACCCUGGUAGUCCACGCCCUAAACGAUGUCAACUGGUUGUUGGGAAGGUUCCUUCUCAGUAACGUAGCUAACGCGUGAAGUUGACCGCCUGGGGAGUACGGCCGCAAGGUUGAAACUUAAAUGAAUUGACGGGGUCAUAGCUGUUUUCC